CCUACGGGUGGCAGCAGUGAGGAAUAUUGGUCAAUGGACGAGAGUCUGAACCAGCCAAGUAGCGUGAAGGAUGACUGCCCUAUGGGUUGUAAACUUCUUUUAUAUGGGAAUAAAAUGUUCCACGUGUGGGAUUUUGUAUGUACCAUAUGAAUAAGGAUCGGCUAACUCCGUGCCAGCAGCCGCGGUAAUACGGAGGAUCCGAGCGUUAUCCGGAUUUAUUGGGUUUAAAGGGAGCGUAGAUGGAUUGUUAAGUCAGUUGUGAAAGUUUGCGGCUCAACCGUAAAAUUGCAGUUGAAACUGGCAGUCUUGAGUACAGUAGAGGUGGGCGGAAUUCGUGGUGUAGCGGUGAAAUGCUUAGAUAUCACGAAGAACUCCGAUUGCGAAGGCAGUUCACUGGACUGCAACUGACACUGAGGCUCGAAAGUGUGGGUAUCAAACAGGAUUAGAUACCCGAGUAGUC
RNAcentral lists this ribosomal RNA (460 nucleotides) under uncultured bacterium. Its description in RNAcentral is "partial 16S ribosomal RNA". It matches the Rfam family "Bacterial small subunit ribosomal RNA", at positions 338 to 795 of the family's 1533-position model. The record is from RNAcentral.